Molecule: long non-coding RNA, 577 nt
Organism: Oncorhynchus tshawytscha (Chinook salmon)
Lineage: Eukaryota; Metazoa; Chordata; Actinopteri; Salmoniformes; Salmonidae
Source: Ensembl
GGCAAUGACAGUUGGUUAGCUAGCGUGUCGCCGCUGUUCUGUGUGGAGUCAGACACGCCCGCUUUACGUUAGUCCGGGAACCAUGGCAAUGACAGUUGGUUAGCUAGCGUGUCGCCGCUUAGAAAAGGUCUGACUGCACGAACGUUCACUGUUGCAGUGCUGCCUUUGGGAGCAUGUGGUCCUUGAAACACUUCUCUAGUCCAGCAAUAUGAGUGUGCCAGAGGUCGUCACGCUGGACGGGAGGCUGUGGUGGUCCACGAUAACGAAGAAGCAGGUGUCCCUUCCGGUGAUGUGGAACUGACCUUGGACUUGGACCUGGUGCCAGGAAGGAUGGUCGUCACAGAGGCAGUAAGACCUUCCCUCCGCUUGGAUAUAGAAAUCAUUCGACCUCCUCUUCAAUGGUCAGGUCCCUUUUAGGCACCAUAGGAACACUUGACCUCCACCACCAGACCAUCCGGUGAGGCACCCAGGAUCCCAGACCGUUUGGUGAGGGGCACCCAGGAUCCCAGACCAUCCGGUGAGGCACCCAGGAUCCCAGACCGUUUGGUGAGGGGCACCCAGGAUCCCAGACCAUCCG